UUUCAAAAAUAAUCCCCCAAAUUUGGCAAGAAAAUUCUUGUAAAUAUUUUCAAAAAAAUGAGUAAAAAUCUUCCAAAAAAUCCUAAAAAUAUCUAAAGUGAUUACAUAUAUAUGAGUAAAGCUUCUAAUAUUUUCUUUAAGAACAUUCAUAUAAAAAUCAACCAAAACCCAGCGAAGUUCGCUGGAUUUUGGUUGAUUUUUUUGUGAAUGUUCUUAAACAUUUUUAACAUUUCUUUUUUUCCACUAAAAAAUGUUCAAAGAUUUCCCAAAAAUGUUGGAAAUGUGGACAUCAGAAGUUUCACUGUGAAAAUGUAUGUAUUUUCCACAUUUUCAGACUUUAGAAUCGGUCAGUUUUGACCCGCAGGACGACAGGAGGGUUAACAUGUUCUUAGUAAAACAGGCACUAAAAUGUUGAGCUUGAAAGAGGAGAAAUUAAACUACAAUAUCCUCAAAGUACAUGAACUGCAGUCAGAGCGAGGUAUAAAAACGUCCUUUCUUUGGCGUUUCGUGGGCGUUCAGCUGCGUGGUUGUGUGAGGUCUGGCAGGUCCAGUGGUGGUCUGACGGUUUGGGGUGUUUUGGGACAGAAGAGACACUGAAGAGGCUCGCGGUCGCCUUUUGAUGAGGCCAGAUGAGACCUUCAGCCACAUUCCUCGUCAGUCUCCUGGGCUGCCGCUCGCCACAUUACUGCCUGCUGUCCAAACAAACAGGGCCGGUCUCAGAGGGCCUCCUGAGCCAUGCCAAGCCGAGCCGGGACAAACCGCCCACCUCUGACGGUCCUAAAAUAUAGAUUCUCCAUUUUUAACUCUGGCAACAAGACGCUUUUUGAGCUGUUCCACAUGUAGGCUGCUGUUCUGAUGUCCAGUCGUCGACACGCUAGUUCAGCCCUGGACCAGACUCAUUGUCCUCCCUGAUGACUUGACGUCUCUGUCUGUCACCGAGACGCAGAUACAAAGACGACGCACAAUGAGACGCAGCACUGCCUCCGGUGGCCGCCUGGCAUCCUGACAGGGUCUCUUUCAAAGGUUACAUGUCAAUCCCAUCUGACAGCCGUGAUAAAGACUUUGGGAUCUGGGCAGGAAUCAAUGUUGUGAAACGGCACCAAGUUAUGCAAAACCGAGCAAUUAUUACAACUUGUUUCCUUGUUUUAAUGUUGUGACCUGACAGCAAAUGUACUGUUACUGAGCAUUACUUAUAAACACUGAAAAAGUACAGAGAGAGGAUGUUUUUUUUCUAAACUCUGGUGUGUUUCUGGGAGGUUAAAGUGUUAUUUUCCCUCAGUUUCAAUGGGAUACAGUAAAGUUCAUAUCUAGUCUGAACCUCUAAGUGUCCCCAAUGUGCCUUUCAAUGGGAAUAUUUGGAUUUGUUGGGUUUUCCAUGUACAAUUUUAUCGAAUAUGAACCAUUAUUGUAAAUAUACUAAAAUUUGGAAGGUUAAUCUUCUUCCUUUUUUUAGUUUGAAAAAGUUUUCAUAAAACAUUAGUCCUUUUACAUAGUCUCAGUAUUGCUGCAAGUGGAUUUACAUUCCGUACGACUAAAAUAAAAUAUACCGCAGUAUGUUGAUAACCCCUUGUAACUGGGUUUUUAUGGAAAACAUGAAAUUGCCUGGGUGACCCCAAACUUUUGAACGGUAGCAUAGAUGUAACAAUCAAGAUUCAUAUUUAAACCAUUAUCCUACUUCAUUAGUGUUAACCAAUCAGAAAUGAAUUGACUGAAAUAUUUCCAUUAUUUAUUAUAAACCCGGUCAUUUAAGGUUCCAUUAUUACUUCCAUUAUGUAUUCACAGUCUUGAUAGUGAAAAAUCAAGGUAUUAGUUCUUACCAAACAUCAGAUCUGAUGGUUUACACAACAGGACUGGACUUCUCUUUAGUUGCCACUGAGUUCCUGUUUAUCUGUCU
Amphiprion ocellaris (clown anemonefish) is the source of this 1894-nucleotide long non-coding RNA. The record is from Ensembl. Lineage: Eukaryota; Metazoa; Chordata; Actinopteri; Pomacentridae.